Molecule: ribosomal RNA, 252 nt
Filed under: uncultured bacterium
Lineage: Bacteria
Description: partial 16S ribosomal RNA
Rfam family: Bacterial small subunit ribosomal RNA
Source: RNAcentral
UACGUAGGGUGCAAGCGUUGUCCGGAAUCAUUGGGCGUAAAGCGCGUGUAGGCGGUCCGGUAAGUCCGCUGUGAAAGUCGAGGGCUCAACCUCGAAUGCCGGUGGAUACUGUCGGGCUUGAGUACGGGAGAGGCGAGUGGAAUUCCUGGUGUAGCGGUGAAAUGCGCAGAUAUCAGGAGGAACACCGAUUGCGAAGGCAGCUCGCUGGAACGUUACUGACGCUGAGACGCGAAAGCGUGGGGAGCAAACAGG